AGUGAACGCUGGCGGUAGGCCUAACACAUGCAAGUCGAACGGUAGCACAGUAAGAGCUUGCUCUUACGGGUGGCGAGUGGCGGACGGGUGAGGAAUACAUCGGAAUCUACUUUUUCGUGGGGGAUAACGUAGGGAAACUUACGCUAAUACCGCAUACGACCUACGGGUGAAAGCAGGGGAUCUUCGGACCUUGCGCGAUUGAAUGAGCCGAUGUCGGAUUAGCUAGUUGGCGGGGUAAAGGCCCACCAAGGCGACGAUCCGUAGCUGGUCUGAGAGGAUGAUCAGCCACACUGGAACUGAGACACGGUCCAGACUCCUACGGGAGGCAGCAGUGGGGAAUAUUGGACAAUGGGCGCAAGCCUGAUCCAGCCAUACCGCGUGGAUGAAGAAGGCCUUCGGGUUGUAAAGCCCUUUUGUUGGGAAAGAAAAGCAGCAGGUUAAUACCCCGCUGUUCUGACGUUACCCAAAGAAUAAGCACCGGCUAACUUCGUG
Molecule: ribosomal RNA, 492 nt
Filed under: uncultured bacterium
Lineage: Bacteria
Description: partial 16S ribosomal RNA
Rfam family: Bacterial small subunit ribosomal RNA
Source: RNAcentral